AUACGUAGGGUGCAAGCGUUAAUCGGAAUUACUGGGCGUAAAGCGUGCGCAGGCGGUUUUGUAAGAAAGAGGUGAAAUCCCCGGGCUCAACCUGGGAACUGCCUUUGUGACUGCAAGGCUAGAGUGCGGCAGAGGGGGAUGGAAUUCCGCGUGUAGCAGUGAAAUGCGUAGAUAUGCGGAGGAACACCGAUGGCGAAGGCAAUCCCCUGGGCCUGUACUGACGCUCAUGCACGAAAGCGUGGGGAGCAAACAGGAUUAGAUACCCUGGUAGUCCACGCCCUAAACGAUGUCAACUGGUUGUUGGGUCUUCAUUGACUCAGUAACGAAGCUAACGCGUGAAGUUGACCGCCUGGGGAGUACGGCCGCAAGGUUGAAGCUUAAAGGAAUUGACGGGG
This 395-nucleotide ribosomal RNA is filed under the name uncultured bacterium. RNAcentral's name for it is "partial 16S ribosomal RNA". It matches the Rfam family "Bacterial small subunit ribosomal RNA", at positions 523 to 918 of the family's 1533-position model. The record is from RNAcentral.